RNA transcript from Selaginella moellendorffii, 1738 nucleotides. RefSeq lists it as uncharacterized. The transcript has 7 exons. The record is from RefSeq and is a predicted model, not a curated record. Lineage: Eukaryota; Viridiplantae; Streptophyta; Lycopodiopsida; Selaginellales; Selaginellaceae.
UCGUCCCCGGAGGCAGAGGAGCCGCGAUGCUGUGAUUGUCAACCGAGCAGGUAUUCUGGUGGCGCCCUUGCCGACAAUGCAGCGAUCGUCCUAGCGAUCGAUCGAUCGAUCGAUCGAUCGCUCGCUCGCUCCGGAGAAGAGCAGAGAAAUGAUCUGGGCAGGAUUCGCGUACGCCGCGGGCGCCGCGAUCGGCCACAGCUGCAUCGAUGCCAGCAGGAAAUGGGCGUCCCAGCGCUUCUCGGACCGCGAGCUCGUAGCUCUGGUGGCUCUCCUGGACGCGCUGCUCCUCUCCUCCAUGGCGCUCCUCUCCGGCGGCUUCGAUCUCUUCUCUUUGACGCGGCUGGACAUCGAGUACGUCGCCGCGCUCCUCGUCACCGCGGCGAUCAAGGCUCUGGUGGGGUUCAUGUACCAGCGUGCUCUCCACGUCUCCCCUCUCUCGGUCACUGUUCCUUAUCUAGCUUUCACUCCAGUUCUUCUGGUUUUUACGAGCUAUGUGAUCAUCAACGAGCUCCCGAGCUCGCAGGGGCUCAUGGGAAUCGUGGUGGUCACUCUCGGCGGCUACUUCCUCGCGCUGGAUCACCCGGCGGAGGUGGAGGUGAAGAAAUCCGACGAGUCCCCGGGCAAGAUCGUCUCGGUUCUUCCUUUGCUUCCUUGGAACUCGUCCAAGGCUUGUGACAAGGUCCCAAAGUUUUCCACCGAUGGCGAUGGUGUCGUGUUGGAUCUCAGUGAGAAGAACUCCCCUCCGGUGGCGAUUCCUGGAGGGAAUUCUUCCUGGUGGCCACAGAUUCAAUGGGAAGAGGGGACGCUUCUCAUGCUGGGUGUUGCAGCGUUACUGAGCAUAAGUAACAGCCUUGACAAAAUGGCUGGUCACUUGGCACCAUCGCUUCUCAAUUUUGCCGCUCUCCAACGAGGCUUUACGGCCGUUCCCGUGGUUUUAUAUCUACUUGUCACAAGCCGCCGCCACCGCCAUCCAUCUCCAACACCCCAGGAGCAGCAACACCCCGAUCAAACUUCUCGCUCAUGCGGCUCCUCACGCCCCGCUCCGCAAGAACAGUGUCUCUUCCAUUGCGAUUCACGCUAUCGUCUUCUUCGUCCGCGUCUCCGUCGUCUUCUUCGUCGACAGGGGCCGCGGCAGUGAGUCCAGAUGCCAUUAGAGAAAAUUUGAUCUCGUCAUCAAAGGGCAAGCAGAUCAAACGCUCCAAGUCGGCGCUCGAUGGUCACCAAAAGGAGAAGAAGCUCACCCGGCUUUACUCCGGAACGUUUCUCGUCAAGCCGACCACUCCUCGUCCUCGUCCCCAGGAAACUUCACAAGCAGACGAUGGAGCCCAAGACACUGACCAUGCCAACGACACCCAAGACGGCGAGGACGAGGAGAUCCCCGAGGAGGAAGCAGUGUGCCGCAUUUGCCUGUGCGAUCUGGGCGAGGAGGGCAAGACGCUCAAGCUCGAGUGUAGCUGCAAAGGGGAGCUGGCGCUGGCUCACGAGGAGUGCGCUCUCAAGUGGUUUGGGAUCCGAGGCAACCGCGAGUGCGAUGUUUGUGGCCAGGAGGUCGUCAAUCUCCCCGUCACGCUCGUCAGGCUCCAGCAAAACCAAAACAAUAUCAACGCUGAAACUCAAGUUCUCCAGCAAGCUCAAAUGGCGCAAAUGAGUGCUCCCAACAGGAUUUGGCAUGACGUUCCCGUGCUCGUCAUGAUCAGCAUGCUCACGUACUUUUGCCUCCUCGAGCAGCUACUGGUGA